This 214-nucleotide long non-coding RNA is filed under the name Phoenix dactylifera (date palm). Its description in RNAcentral is "long non-coding RNA (PDAC_LNC022261)". The record is from RNAcentral. Lineage: Eukaryota; Viridiplantae; Streptophyta; Magnoliopsida; Arecales; Arecaceae.
GUUGGGAAUAUACUGUCCCAGAAAAUUUUAAAUCUAUAAUACUCUACUUCAAUAAAUAAUAGGCAGAAAUAGGCUUAGAGAAAAUAAAUAGAGAAAGUGGAAAAAUGGAACCCGAGAUGCUGAGGCGUGGUAUGUUGGUCACUUUCCUUGAAGUAGAUUUCGCCGCCUUACAGUGCACUAGGCUUAGAUGGCGUUCUACUCCUAAGAUACAACA